AUUGAACGCUGGCGGCAGGCCUAACACAUGCAAGUCGAACGAGUGGCGGACGGGUGAGUAAUGUCUGGGAAACUGCCUGAUGGAGGGGGAUAACUACUGGAAACGGUAGCUAAUACCGCAUACCAUCUGAUGUGCCCAGAUGGGGUUAGCUAGUAGGUGGGGUAAAGGCUCACGUAGGCGACGAUCCCUAGCUGGUCUGAGAGGAUGACCAGCCACAGUGGAACUGAGACACGGGCCAGACUCCUACGGGAGGCAGCAGUGGGGAAGAUUGAAGAAUGGGAGCAAGACUGAUGCAGCCAGGCCGAGUGUAAGAAGGCCUUCGGGUUGUAAAGUACUUUCAGAGGGGAGGCGUUACCCGAAGAAGAAGCACCGGCUAACUCCGUGCCAGCAGCCGCGGUAAUUC
Molecule: ribosomal RNA, 403 nt
Filed under: uncultured bacterium
Lineage: Bacteria
Description: partial 16S ribosomal RNA
Rfam family: Bacterial small subunit ribosomal RNA
Source: RNAcentral